AUAGAUAAUCUUUAGAAUCUUUUGGUUUUGUUUAUUUGAAAUAGUUUUUGAUAGUCGAUUGAUCCUGCUCUUUAAUCUUCUUAAGUUCAUUGUUUGGGUUUCUUGGUCAAUCAUUAAGAACAAGAAGAUAGAAUGAAUCAGAAUAAAUUUUUUGGGGGUUUUCCCCUUCUAUCGUAGGGAGGGUUUGAUGAAUAUUUCUGAAAAUAGUUGAGAGAUGUGUCUUGUUUCGUAAUGCUUUGUUAGAUGGCUUAUCUGUUCCAUAUAAAUAUAUUAUUUUUUGAAUUUGUUCAUCUACAAACGUGUUUUCUUUCUGGGUUUCUCUAGAUGAGCAAUUCCAAGUUAUUUUUAUGUGCUUUGUUGUAGGAGUAGAAAUAAAGGGAUAUCACAUAUAUGUAAAAGUUAUUUUUCUUCAAUGAUAUAGGUUCAGUGAUUAUCUCCACUAACCUGUUUAUUUUGUGGAUAUUAUAUAUACCUUACAGGAGACAGAUUGGAGGCUGACUAAUGAUGAUGAUUUUGAAGUAUCUUUGUUUCCAUAUUGGUCUUUAUGUGCAUGUUUUCUCUCUUUUAUUGCAGUGUAAUGAUUCUGUUCUUGAAAUCUGAGAUUAUUAACAACCUUUUGAUUGUGAAUCUUAAGAUCAUCUCAUUGAGUCAUAUUUUGUCUCUAUUUUUACAUGUUUCAGAUCUAGAUUAUCUGUUUAUAACAGUGUGUAAUGAAGUCUAAAUUAUUAACUACUGAUUUGAACUUAACUUCUCUUUCUUUUCCCUUAUUAUGCAAGCUUUUGUGUGGUAACCUUUUUAUAGUUUCCAGUUAAAUGUUUUUCCUUUUCGAGUUCUUUCUGUGUUGCUCAUAUAUGUUUGUAGACUAUUUUCACGUGUUUAGGUUAUUAAUUAUCUUUAUUUUGUUGGCUAAGCUUUUAAUGUAUUCUGUUGUUGUUUAAAAGAUAAAGGGACAUCAGUGUCACUUGUAGUUUUUACUAGUUUCCAGUUAAAUGCUUAUAUGAAUCAUGAGUAGUGUGGUCAGGAAUUUCUUUCUUUGAUGCUAUGGUUUUUUUUCCAACUGAUUGUGUGUUCUACACUAUUUAAUUAGUACCAUAUUCAUGCUAUGGAAUGUAUAUUUAGUGUUUCUUUUUGGCUUAAUGGGUUAAGCACUUAAUCUGGAGAGCUAUAUGACUGUUUCUAUUUUGAAUCUUAUGAUGACUAAAUGUUUUUUACUCAUAUUUAGUUCUCAUCAAGUCUUCAUUCAGACCCUCGAUUCAUAGCAGUGAGUGUAGAUUGUGUGCCUUUUGAAUAUUAAUAUUAAGAGCAUCACAUUCUUUUUCUACAGUUCCUAUGGUGGCAACAAAUGCAUGUAUGGAUCCAAAGAUUCAAUUCUUUGUUUAUCAUAUGUUGUUUUUCAUCUGUCACUUGUCUUGUUCUUGGUUCUUCUUUGAUGGGUUUAUUUGAAGGGUUUUGAUUUUUGAAUGACAGAGGUUCCUUAUACAAUUCUUUCCAACUUGAAAAUUAAGGUCAUUGAGUUUCUUGGUUAUCGGGUUCUUUUUUUUUUCGUCAUGUUCUUCAUUUUAUACAGAGAUAUCAGUAUGGCUUAUAUAACAAAUAUUUUUCUUUAAUGAUUAUCUCCAUUAACUUGUUUAUUUUGUGGAUAUAUACCUUACAGGAUAACUAAUGAUGAUGAUUUUGAAGUAUCAUCUUUUCUAUAAUGGUCUUUAUGUGUUUCCUUUUUUAUUUUUUUGGUUUCUGGUUGAAAGUUGGGGAGUUCUCUUCCAUUUUGGUGAGAUGUUUUCUCAAUGUGGAUAUUCCAUUCAAGUAGGUGUCUGAUUUCAGCUCUUUCUUUCUCUCUUUUAUUGCAGUGCAAUGAUCCUGUUCUUAGAAUCUAAGAUCCUCUCAUCUUUUUUUUUUUCUUUUUUUUUUUCUAUAGUUGCUAUGAUGACACCAAAUGUACAUCUGUUUACUUAGAUUCAGUUCUUUUCAAUUCUUGCAUGCUGGUAAAUUACAAUUGAGUUAGGUUGUCCUUUCUUAUUAGUAAGUAACCUUUUGAUUUGACCUUAAAUUCACUUGUUUCCCUUCUUUUUUGGGUCUCUUUAUAAGGUUUUAUGUGCUCACCUUUUUUUUUUUUUUUUGCAGUUGCUAUAGAGGCCCCACCCAAAGUCAAUGGAUGUUUACUCAGAAUCCAUUCCUGUGAUGGUGGCUAUUUGCAGGAAGGACAUUAUGUUCAAAACAACUCGACUAAUAGCCUGAAUAUGAUGUCCCUCUUGUAGACUAUUUUCAUGUGUUUAGGUACCACUUUCAGUUGUGAUGAUGCAUGGUGACACAAAAUGCAUGUACGUUUACUCACUCAGAUUCAGUUCUUGUCAACUCCUGUACGUUGCUAAGUUGCAAUCUAGAGGGAAAUUGUCAGAAAAGUCCCAAUAUUUUCGGAAAAGUUACAUUUUAGUCCCAAUUUAUUUUUUUUGAACAGACAAGUCCCGGUUAGUUGAUUUUACAUGGUAAUAUGUCAUUUCCUGUUAAAAGAAAAAAAGGACUUUUUUGUUAAUUUGAGCCAAAAUGAAAUAAUCGGGGCUUUUAUGUUAAAAAAAAUUAGGACUUAACUGUAACGUUUCCGUAAAUAUUGGGACUUUUCUGACAAUUUCCCUCUAGAUUAUUAAUCUUUUUGUUUAUGAAUCAUAAGAUCAUAUUAAUGUCAAAAUUUUCUACUCAUAUUUAGUUAUUUGAAGCUAUGGAUAUGGUGAUUUUUCUGAUGCUCUCUCUGUAUGUGGAUAUAUACCUUACAGGAGACAGAUGGGAGUCUGACUAAAUCUAAUGAAUUUAAAGCAUCUUCUUUUCUAUAAUGGUCUUAAUUUGUUUUGCUUUUUUGGGUUUCUGGUUGAAAGUUGUGGAGCACAAGCAUGAGACUUCUCCUUCCAUUAUGGUGGGAUAUUUUCUCAAUGUGGAUGUGUCUGAUUUCAGCUCUCUUUCUCUCCUUUAUUGCAGUGUACUGAUUCUGUUAUUGAAUCAUAAGAUCAUCUGAGCUUUUCAUAUA
Lactuca sativa (garden lettuce) is the source of this 3016-nucleotide non-coding RNA. The record is from RefSeq and is a predicted model, not a curated record. Lineage: Eukaryota; Viridiplantae; Streptophyta; Magnoliopsida; Asterales; Asteraceae.